CCUACGGGCGGCUGCAGUGGGGAAUUUUACGCAAUGGGGGAAACCCUGACGUAGCGACACCGCGUGAGCGAAGAAGCCCUUUGGGGUGUAAAGCUCUGUCGGCUGGAACGAAACAAAUGACGGUACCAGCAAAGGAAGCAUCGGCUAACUACGUGCCAGCAGCCGCGGUAAGACGUAUGAUGCGAGCGUUGUCCGGAUUUAUUGGGCGUAAAGAGUUCGUAGGUGGUUUGUUAAGUCUGAUGUUAAAGAUCGGAGCUCAACUUCGGGACAGCAUUGGAUACUGGCAGACUUGAGUAUGGUAGAGGCUAGUGGAAUUCCCAGUGUAGCGGUGAAAUGCGUAGAUAUUGGGAAGAACACCGGGGGCGUAGGCGACUAGCUGGGCCAUAACUGACGCUGAGGAACGAAAGCCAGGGGAGAGAAAGGGAUUAGAUACCCUAGUAGUC
RNAcentral lists this ribosomal RNA (443 nucleotides) under uncultured bacterium. RNAcentral's name for it is "partial 16S ribosomal RNA". It matches the Rfam family "Bacterial small subunit ribosomal RNA", at positions 338 to 795 of the family's 1533-position model. The record is from RNAcentral.